CAGGGAGACAACAAAAUGUUUAAUAUUAUUAUUUUGUCACCUUAGGUCGAUCGGUAUCUCACGUUUUUAAUUUAUUAAGAAUUUCAAUUCCUAAGUUUUUCUAGGUCACACCCAUUAUUUUUCCUGGGCCAUUAGCUCAGGUGGUUAGAGCGCACCCCUGAUAAGGGUGAGGUCCCUGGUUCAAGUCCAGGAUGGCCCAUAUCUCUAUGUGGGGGUAUAGCUCAGUUGGUAGAGCGCCUGCUUUGCAAGCAGGAUGUCAGCGGUUCGAGUCCGCUUACCUCCACUGAUUACCACCUCUUCCAUAACCGGUAGAAAGGAAAUGUUUUGAGUUGUGAUCAAAUUCUGGAAGAAUCUAGCUUCCUAAUGAAAUCAUUAAGAUGCUGGACUCAUUGAAUUAAUUUCAUUGUUUUCAGAGAACCUUGACAACUGCAUAGAUUAUUUUUAAAGACAAUAAGCAUCUUUAAUGAUGCAGAUUUAUUAUUUGUGCGAAUGCAUUAAUAACAAUUCUAUUAAGCUGAUGCUUCAAUUUUUGAAGUUAUU
Molecule: transfer RNA, 540 nt
Filed under: uncultured Prochlorococcus sp.
Lineage: Bacteria; Bacillati; Cyanobacteriota; Cyanophyceae; Synechococcales; Prochlorococcaceae
Description: partial 16S-23S ribosomal RNA intergenic spacer
Rfam family: tRNA (bases 211-283)
Source: RNAcentral